CGGGGGGAGCAAGCGUUGUUCGGAUUUACUGGGCGUAAAGGGCGCGUAGGCGGCACCGCAAGUCGGCUGUGAAAUCUCCGGGCUUAACUCGGAAAGGUCAGCCGAUACUGCGGGGCUAGAGUGCAGAAGGGGCAACUGGAAUUCUCGGUGUAGCGGUGAAGUGCGUAGAUAUCGAGAGGAACACCUGCGGCGAAGGCGGGUUGCUGGGCUGACACUGACGCUGAUGCGCGAAAGCUAGGGGAGCGAACGGGAUUAGAUACCCCGGUAGUCCUAGCCUUAAACGAUGAAUGCUUGGUGUCUGGGGUUUUAUAGUCCCCGGGUGCCGUCGCUAACGCUUUAAGCAUUCCGCCUGGGGAGUACGGUCGCAAGACUG
This 373-nucleotide ribosomal RNA is filed under the name uncultured organism. RNAcentral's name for it is "bacterial SSU rRNA". It matches the Rfam family "Bacterial small subunit ribosomal RNA", at positions 526 to 896 of the family's 1533-position model. The record is from RNAcentral.